UUAAGUUUUCCUAUUUACAUCGAAAUCGUCUUUUAGUCGGCUCCCUGAUAUCGAUCGAUUUUUUUUUGGGAAAGAAGUUCCACAGACGAUGCCGACGGAUUCGAAAAUGGCAAAGUUUCUUCAAUCCUAUGGAUAUGAUUUGAUUCUGGGAUCUAUAGCUGCAAUUUAUGUGGUCAUGGCACCAUACACUAAGGUGGAAGAGAGCUUCAACGUACAGUCAAUGCACGACAUUCUUUACCAUCGUCUUAAUUUCAACUCUUAUGAUCAUUUGGAGUUCCCUGGUGUUGUCCCUCGAACUUUUAUUGGAGCAUUCAUAGUCUCUUUUAUCGCAUCACCCGUCGUAUCAGUUAUCAGCUGGCUUGGCUUCCCCAAGAUUUAUAAUCUUGUUGCAGCUCGUUUGGUGUUGGGCUGCAUCAUAUUAUCCACACUAAGAUUUUUCCGGAUUCAGAUAAGAAAAAAUUUCGGACAUCAAGUGGAAUCUUUCUUUGUACUUCUCACCAGUCUUCAGUUUCAUCUGCUUUUCUACUGCACUCGUCCUCUACCUAAUAUUCUAGCUUUUGGAUUAGUUAAUCUCGCAUAUGGUAAUUGGUUAAAGGGAAACUUUUAUUCUGCUUUGAGCUUCCUGAUUUUUGCCACUGUAAUCUUCAGAUGCGAUGUGAUGUUACUUCUUGGGCCUAUCGGUCUUCAAUUUUUAAUGACCAAAUCGAUCUCCUUCUGGAAAGCACUUAAAUAUUGUGUUGGAACCGCUGUGGUGGCUGUAGGUCUUACCAUUUCCGUUGACUCUAUUAUGUGGAAGAAGUUUGUCUGGCCAGAAUUUGAAGUUUUCUGGUUUAACUCCAUUCUGAACCGGAGUUCUGACUGGGGUACACAUUCCAUUCAUUGGUACUUCACCUCAGCACUCCCACGGUCUUUACUUGUAGCUUAUCCUCUUUCCCUGCUUGGUACCUUACUUGACAGGAGGGUUCCAUUCCUUAUUCUUCCAGUUUUAUCCUUUGUUAUACUCUACUCUAAACUUCCACACAAGGAACUACGCUUUAUUAUUAGUUCAGUGCCAAUGCUCAACUUAUCUGCUGCAGUUGCUGCCAGUAGAAUCUACAAUAACAAGAAGAAAGCUAUUUGGAAACUCGUGAACAUGGUUAUGCUAGCAUUAUUUGCAAUCAGUGCAGGGUGCACGGUUGUAACAUUCAUGGCAUCUUACAACAACUAUCCAAGCGGCUAUGCUCUUAAGCGUUUGCAUCAGAUAAGCCCAAAUGUAGCGGGAGAAGAGUGGGUUCACAUAGACACUUUUAGUGCGAUGAAUGGAAUAUCCCGCUUUUGUGAAGAUGGUUUUCCGUGGAGGAGGAGAUAAAUUUUCUUGUGCAAAGCAGAUACUCAAAAGAAGAAGAGAUAGUGGUGGAGGAGUUGCGAAACCGAAAUUUCACUUACCUUGUGAACGAGCACCCAUAUGUGGAUGGAUACAAGUGCUUAUUUUCUGAAGAAGGAUUUGAAAGAGUUGAACUACGGCGAGGUUUCCCUCCCAUUGUUCUGGUAAAAAGAGCGAAAGUAUACGUGCACCGGGAUAUGAAGAAGGAAGAUCAUUUGCAUAAGAUAUGGCCAGGAUGUUAGAGACAUUGUUUAUGUGGUACAGACAGCUUUGUUAUCCUUAAGAGAGGAAAUGAUGUAAAACUAGAGCUAUUUCACAUACGAGAUUGAAACCCUCUGUUUCCUGCAGUAGCAUCCGACUCUGGGUUCUCUUUUGGGCCUCAAUGUAAUUUACGAAUCGACCCCU
RNA transcript from Eutrema salsugineum, 1768 nucleotides. It is a transcript of the gene named dol-P-Man:Man(7)GlcNAc(2)-PP-Dol alpha-1,6-mannosyltransferase, with no coding region annotated. The record is from RefSeq and is a predicted model, not a curated record. NCBI's taxonomy places the organism in Eukaryota, Viridiplantae, Streptophyta, Magnoliopsida, Brassicales, Brassicaceae. The transcript has 20 exons.